This 477-nucleotide ribosomal RNA is filed under the name Nocardia brasiliensis. RNAcentral describes it as "bacterial SSU rRNA". It matches the Rfam family "Bacterial small subunit ribosomal RNA", at positions 102 to 593 of the family's 1533-position model. The record is from RNAcentral. Lineage: Bacteria; Bacillati; Actinomycetota; Actinomycetes; Mycobacteriales; Nocardiaceae.
ACGGUUGAGUAACACGUGGGUGAUCUGCCUCGCACUUCGGGAUAAGCCUGGGAAACUGGGUCUAAUACCGGAUAUGACCUUUCAGUGCAUGCUGUUGGGUGGAAAGAUUUAUCGGUGCGAGAUGGGCCCGCGGCCUAUCAGCUUGUUGGCGGGGUAACGGCCCACCAAGGCGACGACGGGUAGCCGACCUGAGAGGGUGACCGGCCACACUGGGACUGAGACACGGCCCAGACUCCUACGGGAGGCAGCAGUGGGGAAUAUUGCACAAUGGGCGAAAGCCUGAUGCAGCGACGCCGCGUGAGGGAUGACGGCCUUCGGGUUGUAAACCUCUUUCGACAGGGACGAAGCGCAAGUGACGGUACCUGUAGAAGAAGCACCGGCCAACUACGUGCCAGCAGCCGCGGUAAUACGUAGGGUGCGAGCGUUGUCCGGAAUUACUGGGCGUAAAGAGCUUGUAGGCGGUUUGUCGCGUCGUCC